AAGCGCUGGCAACCAGACUUGCGGCUGAGGGUUCCCCCUUGCUUUUGCCUGGGUUACUCCCUCUUCUCCAGGCCAACAUCGGUUUAGGUGGUCGGUUAAAGGCCCUGGGAAUGUACCAACCCCUCGGGGUUGACUUAUAGCCCAGGGUGUCAUGCGGCCUACCCGGACCGAGGAACGCGCUUCGGCUCGGAUGUUGGCGUAAUGGUUGUCAGCGA
Molecule: ribosomal RNA, 215 nt
Filed under: Cyphellophoraceae sp.
Lineage: Eukaryota; Fungi; Ascomycota; Eurotiomycetes; Chaetothyriales; Cyphellophoraceae
Description: partial large subunit ribosomal RNA
Source: RNAcentral